RNAcentral lists this long non-coding RNA (240 nucleotides) under Capsicum annuum. RNAcentral's name for it is "long non-coding RNA (CANN_LNC007991)". Lineage: Eukaryota; Viridiplantae; Streptophyta; Magnoliopsida; Solanales; Solanaceae. The record is from RNAcentral.
GGGGGAGAUAAUGUAACACCCCAUAAUCGUAACGCUCAAAUAAUGCAUUUAAAAUGACCUUUAAGACCCCCAUUUUGAUGGUAAACCAUGCUUAAAUAUUAUGAAUUGUGUUGGGGGUGUUUUUGGAUGUUGGAAUUAGGCAUGUGUUACCAAAUAAACCUUUCACUAAGGUUGUGCGUCGCAUGACAAAUGCCAAUAGCCACUGGAUGGGCUAGGAUAUUGGUGUGCCAUAAGUGUGCG